Long non-coding RNA from Macrobrachium nipponense, 876 nucleotides. RefSeq lists it as uncharacterized. Lineage: Eukaryota; Metazoa; Arthropoda; Malacostraca; Decapoda; Palaemonidae. The record is from RefSeq and is a predicted model, not a curated record. The transcript is spliced from 3 exons.
CUUAUCCUCUUCAAAAUACCGAAAAUGACCCCUGUCCUUCAUUUCUGCCCGAGUUAACGUCUUGUAGGUGAACGAAGGUCCGGUACAUUUACUUAGACGACCCGACUGUGUUCUGACUCUCCAGCGAAAUAUCUAGAUUCUCCAGAAUGUCUCGCAAAUCAGACUUACUGAAAGUCCACGUCCUGAUCUAUCUUAUUCUGUAUGCGUGUGACAUAGCUUUCCAUACUCACUACUUCACAUGGAUGUAUUACAUAUGCUGGGUAAUAUUUCUUUUAGUGUGUUGGAUGAUCCCAGGAGUGUGAUACCAGGAGUGUGAUACCAUCAUUUGCUUAUCGUCACAAGGACGAUAACAAUAAUCCCUCGAUAAUGUAUAUAGUUUUUACCCCAUAUAAACGAGGAAGACGAGAUUUCCAACGAUGGAGAAUUCGCUGGUGAAAGUGUUUUGGGGAAAGAAGUACUAAUUUUACUUGGUUUUAACAAACUGAUAUUGAUUUUAACAAACUGAUUUUAUGACACUUUCUAAUGGACGCAGAAUAAGAUGGGGAAUUUAAACUCAAUUUUACGGAUUUUUAUUUUUUACUCUUUAUGCUAUGACACUUUCUAUUUGGCGUGGUAUUAGAUGUGGGUUCACGGGCAUGUCCACACGCUGUGACUCGCAGUAUUACAGAAUAUUCAAAGAAUUUGUUUUAUACUAGCUGUAUUUUGCUCUAUACUUUUAUCUGUAUUUUCUUGGUUUUUAAAUUGUUUCAAUGACUGUUCAUUAAGUUCUAUGAUUGGUUCAUUCAAAAUUCUAUCUAGAUGUUAAGAUUAUUGUAACUUAAACUGCUUGUAUGUUUUUAUGAACUGUUUUUGACUAAUAAACUUAAUUUGCGUUAA